UCCUCCGGGAGGCAGCAGUGGGGAAUAUUCUGCAAUGGGCGAAAGCCUGACGGAGCAACGCCGCGUGAGUGAUGAAGGCCUUCUGGUUGUAAAAGUGCUGUCUUCAGGGAAGAAAAAAAUGACGGUACCUUAGGAGUAAGCCCCGGCUAACUACGG
RNAcentral lists this ribosomal RNA (156 nucleotides) under uncultured bacterium. Its description in RNAcentral is "partial 16S ribosomal RNA". It matches the Rfam family "Bacterial small subunit ribosomal RNA", at positions 337 to 506 of the family's 1533-position model. The record is from RNAcentral.